This is a non-coding RNA of Ictidomys tridecemlineatus (thirteen-lined ground squirrel), 1081 nucleotides long. Lineage: Eukaryota; Metazoa; Chordata; Mammalia; Rodentia; Sciuridae. The record is from RefSeq and is a predicted model, not a curated record.
CCUCCCUCCCCGCCCUCCCCCGAAGUCUCCGGCCUCAGGCCAGCCCGGGUGCCGCCGGGAGGGGAGGGCGGGGGAGCGCGGUGCGGCUGGGGUGGGGCCGCAGGUUGGGAGGGGGCCGGGCCUAUUGUGUCCCCGGCACCAAUCCGCAGCCCCAGGCAGGCUGGAGAGGGAGAGACAAAGGAGGGACUGGGGAGCACAAAGGGAGCAGGAAUGAAAUGUGAUCCAGAACAACGUCUCCCACCUGGCUCCUGCCUGCAUCAUGUGGCAUUGCCAUCACCUAGAAUCACAGAAGACAUGGGCCCACCCACGUCAUCCAGCCGCAUCUACAGGAAGACCUCCAUCCUCUGUGGCAGCAGCCCGUUCCACCACGGCAACUCUUCAGCCAUCAGACUGAGUGAAGUCAUGAAGUCACGUUCAAAUAAUCUUUCAAGUGGGACUUCCUGUGCUCCAUCAAAGCUUAUUGAGGGACAGGUUUAAACGCCUACUGUGGUUUCUCUGCGUGAACCUCAUGAUGAUCAAUUUUAUGUGUCAACCGGACCAGGAGGCGAAGUGCUCAAACAUGUGUCAACCGUUGUGGGUGGGUCUGGGUGGGCAUUUCUAGAUGAGGUUGACAUUUGUAUCAGAAGGCUGACCAGAGUGACUGGGCUCAGAGGUAGCUCACUGUAGGAGGGUGAGUCCCUGGGUUCCAUCCCAGGAAAAGGAGAAGAGGAGAGGGGGGGAGGGGAGAGGAACAGGAGACUGAAUGAAGCAGGUUGUUCUUCCUAAUGCUGAGUGGACCUCGUCCAGCCAUUUGAAGACCUGAAUAAAAUGAAAAGGCUGAGUAAGAGGGAAUUUUUCCUGCCCAAAUACUUCAGCUGGGACUUCUGCCUUCUGCUUUUGGACUCCAAUUGAGACUUUUGGCUCUUCUGGAACCUCAAGCCUUCUACUUUUGGACUGACCCCCGCCCUGGUUCUCAGGCCCUUGGACUCAGACUAGAGCUCGUUCAUUGCUUUCCUGGGUCUACCGCUUGCUGACUACAGAUUUUGAAAAUUCUCUGUCUCUAAAAUCACAUGAGCUUUAUCAUAAAUCCCACUCUUUCUGU